Molecule: unclassified non-coding RNA, 148 nt
Organism: Pongo abelii (Sumatran orangutan)
Lineage: Eukaryota; Metazoa; Chordata; Mammalia; Primates; Hominidae
Rfam family: Metazoan signal recognition particle RNA
About the family: The signal recognition particle (SRP) is a universally conserved ribonucleoprotein. It is involved in the co-translational targeting of proteins to membranes. The eukaryotic SRP consists of a 300-nucleotide 7S RNA and six proteins: SRPs 72, 68, 54, 19, 14, and 9.
Source: Ensembl
GCCAGGCGUGGUGGCACCCGCCUGUAAUCCCAGCUACUCGGGAGGCUGAGAUGGGAGGAUUGCUUGAGCCUGGGAGAUUGAGGAUGCAGUGAACAAUGAUUGCACCACUGCACUCCAGCCUGGGUGACAGAGUGAGACCUCAUCUCUA